GCUGGGCAUGGUGGGGCACACCUGUAAUCCCAGCAGCUCUGGAGGAGGCUGAGGCAGGAGGAUUGUGAGUUCAAAGCCAGCCCCAGCAAUUUAGCAAAAUUCCCUAAGCAACUCAGUGAGACCCUGUCUCUA
RNAcentral lists this small RNA (132 nucleotides) under Marmota monax (woodchuck). Lineage: Eukaryota; Metazoa; Chordata; Mammalia; Rodentia; Sciuridae. The record is from RNAcentral.